GGCUGGCCUCGGUGCCGCCGGCCUAUGAGGGAGGGACGGAGGCCGGGCGCCCGGUCCGGCGCCACUUGUUCGGCGCCGGAGAGCCGAGGUGGCCUUCUGGGAGGGGCGAAGAGAGCAGGACUAGCUAAGGCCGAACCGAACGCCGGCCUGGAUGCGGCCUCCUGGCGGCUCCUUCAGCGACCGAGGGUCGUAAUCUGGGUAGGCAGCCCGGGAGCGCCUUCAGGUCCCAGCGAGCGGGAAAGAAUGGGAACCGAUGGCCCUUGGGCGCUGCCCCUGGAAGCCGGCCUCUUUUCCCGCGUCCCUCUGAGGCUGACCACUGGGGCGUGCUGUGGGCAGACCCGUUCCUGGGUCAAGGUCUGAGCCGGGAAUGGUGACUCGGGCCUCAAUACCUUUCCGAACUGUGUGAGUCCAUGUGCUUAGGCCGGACACGGAAGUCAGCGACAGGACGGACACAGGAGUUCGUGAGGCGAGGAUACCGGCUGUGGGGGCAGCCCCUGAGCUGCCCCAGGGUGACUGGUCCUUGAAGUAGGCUGGGGCAAAAGGGUCUGGAUUCCAGAUGGGAAGGGAAGAGUUCUCGGUCUGUGGCCCAGGACUGAAUUCUUGGCACCCAAGUCUUCACACAGAAUGGGAGAGAGAACACCAAAUGGCAAUGAUGCUGGUGCAGCAGGAGGCCCUGGGGUCCUGGAAUGGAAAGGCGCCAUGGCUUCUGCAGUGGCUUCUGUGGCGGCAUCCAGGGCCGGGAUGGAGCUGCGGAACUCACAGAGUCAAGGCCAAGGACAAGGAGUGGAUCCCUGUCACAAAGCUGGGCCACCUGGUCAAGGCCAUGAAGAUCAAGUCCCUGGAGAUCUAUCUGUUCUACCUGCCUAUCAGGAGUCUGAGAUCAUUGACUUUUUCCUGGGAGCAUCCCUCAAGGUUGAAGAUUAUGCUGGCAGAAAAGCAGACUCCUGCAGACCAAGUUCAAGGCAUUUAGCACAAAAGCAGAAGACCUCUGCAGACCAGGCUCAAGGCAUUUGUUGCCAUCGGGAACCACAGUGAUCACUUCAGUCUGGUUUUAAGUGCUCCAAGGAGGUGUGCUCCAAGGAGGUAGCCACCGCUGUCUAUCACCCUGGCCAAACUCUCCAUUGUCCCCUUGCAGAGAGGCUACUGGGGGAACAAGAUUGGCCAUCCCCACACUGUCCCUUCCAAGGUAACAGGCCGCUGUGGCUCUGUGCUGGUGUGCCUCAUCCCUGCCCCCAGAGGCAGUGGCAUUGUCUUGGCCCCUGUGCCCAAGAAGCCGCUGCUGAUGGCCAGAACUGAUGACUGCUGCACCUCAGACGGGCUGCACUGCCCCCCGGGGCAACUUCACCAAGGCCACCUUUGAUGCGAUCUCCAAGACCUACAGCUAUCUCACCCCCAGCCUUUAGAAGGAGACCAUGUUCACCAAGUCUCCCAUCCAAAAUUCACUGACCAUCUUGUAAAGACCCACACCAGAGUCUCCAUGCAGAGGACUCAGCUCCAGCUCUGGCUACAACAUAUGGCUUUUAUAGAAGAAAAAUGAAGUGAAUUAAAUAACCUUGUUUAAAAAACUGAUUGAUGAUUUUUGUUACAAUUUAAAUAUUCAUACUCUUUGACCCAGCAAUACCGCUGAAACAUUUGUAUAGGUUUACAAAAAUAUAUAAAAGAAUGAUUAUCGCUGUAUAAUGAGUUUAUUCAGUAAAUACAUAAUGAGGUUCUCCUAUGGGCCUGGCUUCCUCUGGGCACUGGGAACACAGCAGUGAUAUAAAUAAAGUCCUUACUGUCAUGAAAUUUUUGAGGCUGCUGGUGGAGACAGACAAUACAUAAGUAAACAAAUCAAUAUACAAAAUAUGACAAGUAGUGACAAAUGCUGUUUUUUAAAAAAAGCAGAGUAAGGGAUUAAGAAGUGGUAGAGGGUUGAAUAGAAGUGCGUUUAAGUAGUGAGACAAAGAGGGUUUUUCUAAGGAGGUGGCAUUUGAGCAGGAACGUGAAUGAAGUGAGGAAAUCAGCCAAAUGGAAAUCUGGGGGAAGUUUAUAAUUUUUAUAAUACCAAAAAUUGGAAACCACCUAAAUGUUCAUGAAAUACUAAGUAAUUACGCUUUGCAAAAAUACUGAGCCAGAGCUAUAUGUUCAAAAUGAAAAUAUGUCUAUGAUAUCAUGAGGAAAAAAGUUGCAGAACUAUGCAAUGAUUCCAUUUUUUAAAAAAACAAGCAAGAAAAUUAACCUAAAGCAAAUGUAUUUACCACAGGGAAAACAUCUGAAGAAAUAUGCAAAAUCGUCCAAAAAUCUGACUUGUAAGGGUCAUUGUAUGUAUUGAAUGAGAGUACAAUAAGUCAAAGUGCCAGGUGCCUACUAAAGAGAGAGCCAGGAGGAAAACCUUAUUAUCUCUAAAACAGGACCAGGCAGGCAGAAUUAUGACAAGCAAGUCCUGAAGAUCCAUACCCUUGCCUUUUGUGAUGUACUUGGCACUCUCCUCUUUUUCAGGUCACUUACUGCUGAGCCCUUUUUACCUUUCCUUACCUCCCCACAUCCCUUUCUCCCUCCUUUAGCUUUGCUCUUGGGAAAGGAGGCUGUACUUCUGUUUUCUUACUCUGGUCACUUCAUCUGGACUGGCCCUCCUGCCAGUCUCAAGACAAGCAGCGUCGUGCUCUGGCUGCAGUCUGUGGAGAGGUGCUGAGAAGGAAGAAGGCUUCCUGGAUCCCUCUCGUUUAUUAUAGCCUCAUUUCCAAGUGCAGCGUAAAUGCUUGUCCCUGGUUACUAGCUUCACAAUAUUAGGAUUGCUCACACACACUCCAGCCAGUGUUGACUGGAUCACCUGCCUUCUAUUUAAGGUUUUUUGAAGCAGCCAAGCCUCAAGUGUUCCCUGCUCAUACCCACACUCACCCUCCAAGCUCUGCUGACUUCCAGGGCCUUGUGGGUUGGUAUGCUUGUCAACCAAUCGUUAGAAAACACAAAAGCACAGAAAAAUGACCAGUAUAAGUUAAAUUUGUAUAAAAUAAAUAUAGAAAGAACAUUCUGGACUCUUGUAUUGUUUCUAACAAUUAUUCACUUAAUUAUUUUGGAUUUCUAGGUAGACAGUCCUGUAAUUGAUAAUAAUUCUCUUCUCCUUCCUAGUAUUUUGUCUUUUAGUUUAUUGUCUAAUUGCAUGAACUAGCACUUCCAGAACAGCAUUAGAUAAUAGAGGUGGUGUGUAUUCUUCUCCUGACUUUAAUGGAGAUAUUAAGAUGUGGUUGAUUAGAUGUGUAUUUGUGUAUGUGAGCAUGUGUACCUGCCCAAGAUUGAUAUCUUUAUUAAGGGAGUAUUCUAUCCCUUUAUCACUCAGAAUAUUGGUGAGGAAUGAAUAUUAAAUUACAUAUACAAUUUUUA
Molecule: RNA transcript, 3360 nt
Organism: Cynocephalus volans (Philippine flying lemur)
Lineage: Eukaryota; Metazoa; Chordata; Mammalia; Dermoptera; Cynocephalidae
Exons: 3
Source: RefSeq, a predicted model, not a curated record